RNAcentral lists this transfer RNA (73 nucleotides) under Cordylochernes scorpioides. RNAcentral's name for it is "tRNA-Thr". It matches the Rfam family "tRNA". From Rfam's summary of the family: Transfer RNA (tRNA) molecules are approximately 80 nucleotides in length. Their secondary structure includes four short double-helical elements and three loops (D, anti-codon, and T loops). Further hydrogen bonds mediate the characteristic L-shaped molecular structure. tRNAs have two regions of fundamental functional importance: the anti-codon, which is responsible for specific mRNA codon recognition, and the 3' end, to which the tRNAs corresponding amino acid is attached (by aminoacyl-tRNA synthetases). tRNAs cope with the degeneracy of the genetic code in two manners: having more than one tRNA (with a specific anti-codon) for a particular amino acid; and 'wobble' base-pairing, i.e. permitting non-standard base-pairing at the 3rd anti-codon position. Lineage: Eukaryota; Metazoa; Arthropoda; Arachnida; Pseudoscorpiones; Chernetidae. The record is from RNAcentral.
UCCAGGGUAGCCUAGUGGACAUGGCAUCUGCCCGGUAAGCGAAACGUUGUGGGUUCGAUUCCCGCCCCUGGAC